RNAcentral lists this ribosomal RNA (253 nucleotides) under uncultured bacterium. Its description in RNAcentral is "partial 16S ribosomal RNA". It matches the Rfam family "Bacterial small subunit ribosomal RNA", at positions 524 to 776 of the family's 1533-position model. The record is from RNAcentral.
UACGAAGGGGGCUAGCGUUGCUCGGAAUCACUGGGCGUAAAGGGUGCGUGGGCGGGUCUUUAAGUCAGGGGUGAAAUCCUGGAGCUCAACUCCAGAACUGCCUUUGAUACUGAAGAUCUUGAGUUCGGGAGAGGUGAGUGGAACUGCGAGUGUAGAGGUGAAAUUCGUAGAUAUUCGCAAGAACACCAGUGGCGAAGGCGGCUCACUGGCCCGGUACUGACGCUGAGGUGCGAAAGCGUGGGGAGCAAACAGG